Molecule: long non-coding RNA, 2088 nt
Filed under: Jatropha curcas
Lineage: Eukaryota; Viridiplantae; Streptophyta; Magnoliopsida; Malpighiales; Euphorbiaceae
Description: long non-coding RNA (JCUR_LNC001231)
Source: RNAcentral
GAGAGGAAGAACCGGAGCCUGGAGAUGGCUUCAGUGCCACCGAAGGUCGAAGAAGGCAUGAGUAGAUAGAGUGGGAGAUCUCAGGUCUCUGGUCGUACUUGUCAAACCGUAGUAAAUCUUAGUUUGGUUUAUAUUAUAAAUCCGAAUCAUAAAUGCAUGUAACUUUUUUUUUUUUACCGUUAUUUAAGAUUUGGCUAGAGUUCAAAGUCAAACUUACCAACACAUAGCCUUGAGUGGAAAUAACAUUGAUCAAGAUAUAAAUAUAUAGAUCUAAAGGCAUUCUUAAAUGUGUGGAACUAGAUUCCAGGUGCUGUAUUAGUGUUUUGUUUAUUCAGUGGAAACUAAUGCUAUGUUUAAAUAUAUUCAUUGUUGUUAGUGCAACUAAUAGUUUUUGGAGCAAAUAGAACAAUAAUCCAACAUUAGCAGGAUAAAAACUUCUUGGUUUCCCAGGGUCACAACCAUCUCUGUACAGAAUUUGAUUCCUCUAUAUACAGUUGCGCGUAGAAGGUAAAAUGUGAUUAACUUUAAUCAAAUAAAAGAUAUAUAAUAUUACAACAAAUCCAAAUUUCAUUCCGUUAUGACCAACCAAACAUGUUGGCAUUACCAGAGGAUUGCUUGGAAUUCUGAAUCUUGGUGAAAAAUUAAAGUUUGCCAUUGAAUUAAUCUCACUCUGGAUAAAAAUCAAGGUCCUUGGGAGGACCUUUUCGAAGUUUAUCUUGUAGAUCCAAUUGCUUUGGCACGACAAGUUCAGUUCCCUCCCCUGACAUGCAAAAAUAUCUCUCUAAUACCAUCUGCAACGAGAAAAAUGCCAGUAAACAAUAUAAGAAAACAGAAAAUUGAGAUAGUUUCUAGCGAGGACAAUAUUUUGCAUACAGCAGUAUCCUUCUCAUACGAAGACGUAAAAUAAUUUCAUUCCAUACCACAGCUGCAUAGGCAUCAACGCUCUUUUGCCGAGCACUCUUGCGAAGGCCCCUGAAAUAGUUCACACAAUUAUCUAUCCAUCAACGUUAUUUGCCUCCAUGCAACUGCAUAUUAUCUGACUGAUAAGCAGAAAACUUUUAUGCAUUGUCUGUAAUAUGGCAUCUUCAGAUAAUGCAACCACCUCUACUAACUAGUAUUUUGCCAGGGGAAGGAAAACCAUUGCUUAAUUGCAAAAAAUCAUGAGCACUCAAAUUCCUAUUCCACUAUUUUGCAUUUCAAUCCCCAAAAUCAAUUUAUCAAUUACAUCAACUCUUCUAUUCCAGCUGUUCUUUUAUCGCAGUACCUCAAACUUAAAGAAUCAGACAUGACGAAUAGGAUAUCAAAAGAAUUUCUUCAUCUGGUACAACUUCCGUGUUUAAAUUAAUUAAACUUAUUAAUUACUUAGCUUGAGUAAUUGAUUUUUUUUUUUUUUUUUUUGAGAUAAUCUUUUAGUAGUUAUGAGGUGUUGAUGGUGCAGCUUGUGGUGUGAAUGGAGCACUAUACACCUUAAUUGCAUGUGUGACUGGUUUCGCCUGUUGCUACUCAUGCUUCUAUAGAGGAAAACUGAGGCAGCAACACGCAUUGAAGGAGAGCCCUUGUGGGGAUUGUUUGGUUCAUUGCUGCUGCGAAUAUUGUGCCUUAUGCCAAGAAUAUCGUGAGCUUAAAACCCGUGGAUAUGACUUGUCUAUAGGUAAAAAGAUUUGGACUUUCUUUAUGGGUAUUAUUUCAACUAUUAUGGGUUCUUCUAAAUUUGAUAGGGUUCUUAUAAUUAAUUAUAUAUUUUGGGUCUUUGUUGUAGGAUGGCAUGGCAAUGUGGAGAGGAAGAACCGGAGCCUGGAGAUGGCUUCAGUGCCACCGAAGGUCGAAGAAGGCAUGAGUAGAUAGAGUGGGAGAUCUCAGGUCUCUGGUCGUACUUGUCAAACCGUAGUAAAUCUUAGUUUGGUUUAUAUUAUAAAUCCGAAUCAUAAAUGCAUGUAACUUUUUUUUUUUUACCGUUAUUUAAGAUUUGGCUAGAGUUCAAAGUCAAACUUACCAACACAUAGCCUUGAGUGGAAAUAACAUUGAUCAAGAUAUAAAUAUAUAGAUCUAAAGGCAUUCUUAAAUGUGUGGAACUAGAUUCCAGGUGCU